UCAGCACCAAGAGAACACGCUCACCCAGACUUGGAGGGAGAGUUUUGAAGCCAGAUUUCAUAGAAUCUGCCAGAAGUUUUCGGAGAAAAUCAUGAGCAGACCCCCUGCCUUUACUCCGCAAGCUCAACUAACCACUCGAGCUGCAAUGUCGAAACUCCGACCCUGCGUCAGACCGGAGACCCACACGGAAGAAGCCCCUCCUUGCUGCUCAAGCUCCCGACGGGUUUCCGACCUCAGGC
Molecule: non-coding RNA, 239 nt
Organism: Pelobates cultripes (western spadefoot toad)
Lineage: Eukaryota; Metazoa; Chordata; Amphibia; Anura; Pelobatidae
Source: the annotation of a GenBank genome assembly